This 497-nucleotide ribosomal RNA is filed under the name uncultured bacterium. RNAcentral's name for it is "partial 16S ribosomal RNA". It matches the Rfam family "Bacterial small subunit ribosomal RNA", at positions 28 to 507 of the family's 1533-position model. The record is from RNAcentral.
GACGAACGCUGGCGGCGUGCCUAAUACAUGCAAGUCGAGCGCUGAAGGUUGGUUCUUGUACCGACUGGAUGAGCAGCGGACGGGUGAGUAACGCGUGGGGAAUCUGCCUUGGGGCGGGGGACAACAUUUGGAAACGAAUGCUAAUACCGCAUAAAAACUUUAAACACAAGUUUUAAGUUUGAAAGAUGCAAUUGCAUCACUCAAAGAUGAUCCCGAGUUGUAUUAGCUAGUUGGUGAGGGAAAGGCUCACCAAGGCGAAGCUACAUAGCCGACCUGAGAGGGAGGUCGACUCACAUGGGAAUUGGAAACGGGCCAAGACCCCACGGGAAGGAGCAGGAGGGGAACUUCGGAAAAGGACGGAAGGCUGAACGAGGCAAGCCGGGGGGGUGGAGAAGGGUUUCGGGUCGUAAAACUAUGUUGGUAGGGAAGAACGUGGGUGAGAGUGGAAAGCUCAUGAAGUGACGGUAACUACAGAGAAAGCGACGGCUAACUACGUG